Molecule: long non-coding RNA, 603 nt
Organism: Ornithorhynchus anatinus (platypus)
Lineage: Eukaryota; Metazoa; Chordata; Mammalia; Monotremata; Ornithorhynchidae
Exons: 3
Source: RefSeq, a predicted model, not a curated record
AAUCCCCAUUUUACAGAUGAGACAACUGGGGCCAGGAGAAAUGAAGUGACUUGCCCAAGGUCAACCUGCAGACAAGUGGCAGAGCCGGAAUUAGAACCCAGAUCCUUUUGACUCCUAGGCCCUGGCUCUCUCCGCUAGGAUGUGCGAAGGCCCACUGGAUGCUGGCAGCACAGGUUUUGAGGGCAUGAUGAAACAAACCUCUUCUCACCCAGGAUCAACUCAGAAGCUCAGUGGAGACCAGCAACCGAGUGCGAUUGAUUGGAGGUAUUCGGAAAUGUGAAAGGCAUAAUGGAAAAUGAUGAGUCUUCGAACCACGCGAUUCUCUCUGUUUCCAUCUCCAUAAUUAUUUGUAUAAUGUGGCCUAUUAUUGGCACCCUCAUGCUUCUGCAGCAGAGUUUAGGAAGUGAGACAGAUCACUACUAAGAAUUCGUGGGCCGCAAAUGUUGGAUGAAUGGGUCCCUAAUGAGAGGUAUUUCCUCUGGUCUUAGAACUGCCUUAUCUCCAGAGGCAUAUACAUAUAACUGUGUUUCAGGUACAGGAUGGUUCCACUGUAGGGGGACAAUGGAUGGGGCUGAUAAGAACAAUGAAUGACUGCCAACUCUU